AAGGACCUUUGACUCACCUGUAUGAGUGCUUCUCGGUGGGUUUUCGGCGCUCUCUUUAUCGGCUAGAUCUCCUCGGAUGGAUUUCCAAGCAGAGCCACAUCACCAAACUCUCCCGGAAACAAAACCUGCUCUACGCUGAUUGGACGACACGGUGAAAAAUAAUAACGCAAUGAUGGCAAGGCACGACCAGGCAGUCAAGCUGAUUGUCAGCCGUGGCAGGCAGCUGGGGCGAAGCCUGGCGUUGCUGGCCCACUACGUGACGCUCUUCGCAGCCUUCGCGGGCCGCUUUGUGCAAUGGAUGGCGGGCGCCGGGAGUUGGACCACGCACCUCACGCGCUGCACACUAUCCGCCUUUGACGGCGUCUACACGCACCUGCGACGCGCUUUGAGGUGGAAGACCGAAGUGGACUGACCAUCACACUUCAUCUCGUCUUUUACCCUGUGAAGUUGAGGCCUUAUGAUCGCGUUUUAUGGGCUCUUUUAAUCCAUUUAUGUUACAUUUGUAUGAGUAGUUUCAUCAUUUUGGUGAUGAAAGACAAUGCCUCUGACAGGUAUGAUGUGUUAAAAUACAUAAUUGUCAUGACACUACUACAAAAUCAACCCCCCAAAAUGAAUUGAUAUUAGUUUUGGGAAAUAUUGGGACUUUUAGUUGGAAAAACACCAUGUUGUCAUGGCAUCUUUGACGAUUGUAGCACUUAGACAGCAUUCAGUCAGGACUGGGAAUGUCUUUGUGGCAGCAACACUGAUUGAUGAUUAUACAAGUUUCCUUUUUUUUU
This is a long non-coding RNA of Hippocampus zosterae (dwarf seahorse), 776 nucleotides long. RefSeq lists it as uncharacterized. The transcript is spliced from 2 exons. NCBI's taxonomy places the organism in Eukaryota, Metazoa, Chordata, Actinopteri, Syngnathiformes, Syngnathidae. The record is from RefSeq and is a predicted model, not a curated record.